AUUUGUAUAGUAUAAAAAUUAUAUUUAACUUCCAAUUAAAAAAUCUAGAUUUCUACUAGUACAAGUA
Molecule: transfer RNA, 67 nt
Filed under: Trypodendron signatum
Lineage: Eukaryota; Metazoa; Arthropoda; Insecta; Coleoptera; Curculionidae
Description: tRNA-Gly
Source: RNAcentral